Molecule: long non-coding RNA, 1989 nt
Filed under: Marmota monax (woodchuck)
Lineage: Eukaryota; Metazoa; Chordata; Mammalia; Rodentia; Sciuridae
Source: RNAcentral
UGUGCACAGGAUGGGGCCAUCAUCGCAGCUCAUGAAUGAGAAAACCCACAUGGAGCUGGGGGAAGGUGACCGGCCGCAGGGUGAGUGAGCACACCGUUCCCCGCUGAGGGCCUGGCUCUCUUCAGCCGUCCUCACCUCUCUGCCCGCGCGCGGCCCUUUCCUCCUGCUUUGCUGGCUCCCCGGCUGCAGGUGGCUUCAGGCUGAGAUGAAACACUGCAAAGCACCACACUCAAUUGUUUCAACCUCUUUGUUCCCAGAAUGCCACUUUGCUUGACCUCUGGACACUUGGGGGCUGACCCCAAGGCUCUGCUCCUGGACCCCUGCCAGAGUCCCCUGGCAGGACAGCUCCUCUGCCCAGCCCCAGCUCGUGGCCAUCAGGUCUGCCCAGGCACAGGAGAUCAAGCCUCCCUGUGAGGAAGCAGGGCCUGAGUCGGCACCCUGGAUGCGUGUGCAGGAGCCCCGGCCCCUUGACCACCAUGGGUUCUCUGCACACAGCUCCCCCACCCCUACCCUUGAAAGCCUAUCUGGUUCUCUGUGAUUUCCAUUGGAGACACACUGAAAUAUCUGCCAUCACGUUUUUACGAUUCCCAGAGAGCUUGCUUUGCUGAUGUGCGUUAAUGCUACAGUAACAACAGAGCAGCUCCAUUCCAGCAGAAUGAGCAACUCACACAAAGAAACCUGUUAACUUUAAUAACACCGAUAAAGCAAGCUCUGCCGCUGCGCCCACAGCAGCCGUCUCGGUCUGGAGCUGCAACCAGAUGCCUGGGCGAGAAAGGCUUGCAAUCGCCCAUUUGGGGACAUCUGGAAAAACCGAGGCCUGCUAAGGAGGGACAGCACCUGCCAGCCGGGUUUCAUUCUCCCGAAUGAUUCGUUUCCUUGCAGGGGAUUCAUCGAGGUCAUUCCUGGAGCUUUAUGCUGAGCGCACCAUACAGGUGGGUGCCUUCCGCUUCUAAGAAGAUGCCUGAAGCAAAAGUCCCUAGCUCUCAAGGACAGGGUCAGUGCCUCCUCUCAGCCUGGGCAGGAUGAACCGGGCACAGGGACACUGUGGAGCAGGCACCUGCAACGGGCCUCGUGCUCCUUCCACGGGAGUGGACAGCCCUUGGCACAAGAGACCUAUUGGGCAUCGUGCUGCUGGCCUUUGUUCCGCGCCUACCACUUACAAAUAAGUCCCCCCUCUGAACUGUUUCUGCUCCUGAGAUAAAGUCUAGGAAGCCUGGAGGUUAGCAGCCCCCACCUCCUUCGUGCCCCUAAUUUCCACCCACCUGUGUGGAAAGACUCUCCAGCUGCUUACAACCUGGGUCUGUCACCAAACACUGAGGGACACCACUCCGGCAGGUCUUAAGGAAAAGGCUGUCCUGCCGCAGGUUUUGCCAGGCCUUCCUGAUAGAUGGAGCCCUGGGAGAGAAGCCCAGUGCACAGAGGCCAGCUGCCCCUGCAGCCCCGAGUUCUACAGGAUCGUCACAGUUGGCCAUUCCCGUUGGUUCCAUUUGGAUAGAAAGGAUGUUUGUUUGUUUGUUUGUUUUGAAGAAAGAAGAGAAUGAAAAAAAAUACGAAGCUAAAACCCAAAUUAGUUCUUCUCCCCUGAAAUACACUGACUGGAUGCACUCUUGGAAGUUCUCAAAGACAUAUUUUCAAAGGGUGAAGUUCUAAAGAUUUCAAAAAAGAUGGUCAAAUAUAAUCUUUUCUUUUUUCUUUCUGAAGAAUAGUGGAUCACAAAGUUAUCUGAGUUUUACAGCCAGGAAGGUGAGGAAGCGUAGAUUUGGGCCCUGGCUUGGCAUAAACAUAAAAAACACUGCAGCCCACUUAUGUGUGCAGCUUAAUUUCUUUUUGUCUCAUAAUUACAGCCCUUUGCCUAGGUCUGAGUGACAGGAGAGCGAGGCAACAGCGCCAUCUGUAGGAGAAAUGUGGUAGUCCAGGAAGGAUGCCCGCAGCCCUGCCUUUUAGACCAAUCCCUGACAGGGCUGGGAGGAUCCAGAGCCAACAUCCCCC